CACGGGGGGAGCAAGCGUUGUUCGGAAUCACUGGGCGUAAAGGGCGUGUAGGCGGUCAAGUAAGUGGGAUGUGAAAAUCCCUCGGCUCACCCGAGGACCUGCAUCCCCAAACUGCUUGACUUGAGGACGCGAGAGGGACACGGAAUUCCGGGUGGAGUGGUGAAAUGCGUAGAGAUCCGGAGGAACACCGAAGGCGAAGGCAGUGUCCUGGCGCGUAACUGACGCUGAGGUGCGAAAGCCAGGGGAGCGAACGGG
Molecule: ribosomal RNA, 255 nt
Filed under: uncultured bacterium
Lineage: Bacteria
Description: partial 16S ribosomal RNA
Rfam family: Bacterial small subunit ribosomal RNA
Source: RNAcentral